This 253-nucleotide ribosomal RNA is filed under the name uncultured bacterium. RNAcentral describes it as "partial 16S ribosomal RNA". It matches the Rfam family "Bacterial small subunit ribosomal RNA", at positions 524 to 776 of the family's 1533-position model. The record is from RNAcentral.
UACGUAGGGUGCGAGCGUUGUCCGGAAUUAUUGGGCGUAAAGAGCUCGUAGGCGGCUUGUCGCGUCGUCUGUGAAAACCCGCGGCUCAACGGCGGGCUUGCAGUCGAUACGGGCAGGCUGGAGUUCGGUAGGGGAGACUGGAAUUCCUGGUGUAGAGGUGAAAUUCGUAGAUAUCAAGCAGAACACCUGCGGCGAAGGCGGCCUUCUGGACGAUGACUGACGCUGAGACACGAAAGCGUGGGGAGCAAACAGG